Molecule: small nucleolar RNA, 86 nt
Filed under: Canis lupus familiaris (dog)
Lineage: Eukaryota; Metazoa; Chordata; Mammalia; Carnivora; Canidae
Also listed under: 2 other names
Description: Small nucleolar RNA SNORD35 (multiple genes)
Rfam family: Small nucleolar RNA SNORD35
About the family: U35 is a C/D box snoRNA located in intron 6 of ribosomal protein L13A and intron 3 of ribosomal protein S11 in humans and at homologous positions in mouse and chicken ribosomal protein genes.
Source: Rfam by way of RNAcentral
UAUAGAUGAUGUCUUCUCACAGUGGUCUUCAGGUGCUCACCCUGGGCACUGCUGAGAAAGCCACUUGGCACAGCUGAUGCCAGAAG